GCCCUCGGCCCAGCGGGGAUCCGCCCCCGUGCUCGCAGCAUCCUUCGCCUUCGCUUCGCGCCCCCUCCUCCCCUGGAGCCCUACGUCCCCGCCUUCCAGGGGAUGCCCAAGUUGCACUUGCAGAAAGUUUGUGCCGGGCCUGCGCGCGCAGCGCCCAGCGUUCCCAUGACGCGCCUUUCGGAGAGCGUGCGCCGGCACGCGGCCGCAGGGCGCAGGGUGGGUAAGGGCUGAGGACCACCCCCCCCCCCACCCCGGGACAAAGGGGGUUGGGGGAGAGCCCCCAACUUCAAAAACCUCCGCCUGACCGCACGCAGCGACUCCCCCAGCAGCAUCCAAACACUUUCUACCUCCUCCGUUGGAAGAGCCUUGGGCUGCUCUCCGGAAGAGGAAGGUGAACCGUGUGCCGGUCGUCAUACUUGUAGAGGUGAUGCUAGAAACUUCUUAUUUGGGAAGGACAUCCAGUCUGCCGGGCGCUCAAGUAGAGCGCAGAAUGAGGGAAGAUAUUAAAGUCUUAUUGGUUGCAAAACAACUUAAGUGAUUUGGCUCCGCAAGACACCAGGGGGGUAUAGAAGUCGUUAUGCCAGUUUCCGUCGGUGGAUUCAGCCCCAUAUUUCUGCGGUGGUGAUGGUUGUCAGGGCCGACUCUAAAACUCAUGCCCUUGUCUGCGCUUUUGCAGUGGAGAUGCUUGUAUGGAGACAGCAGCAACGUGGCCAUCUAUGGAAAUGCCCUUUCUGGGGUCAACAGGUGCUCCUGGGGAGCAUCGAUUUUCAGACUUCCCCUGUUGCACCCCGAAUCCCAACCUUCUCCCAGAGCCAAACAAAGGCAUGAGGAGGCUGAGGAGGUACAGAAAAUGCCGAGCUGGCCCGAACCCGGCAGCACCGCCGCGCUCAGCUGCCUUGAGGCAAUAGGACCCGGUCGCGAAGAUGCCUAGGCUGGCGCUUAUGGCUACCCGCUGCGCAAAAGGGGGAGGGAGGCUGUGACUGAGGCUCCCCGGCGCCCUCCGUUCGUCACUGAGCACAGCCAAGUUUCCUUGUGAUGGGUGUGGGCGAUUAAUAAACUUAAAGGAAGUGAAUUGGA
This is a long non-coding RNA of Neofelis nebulosa (Clouded leopard), 1077 nucleotides long. RefSeq lists it as uncharacterized. NCBI's taxonomy places the organism in Eukaryota, Metazoa, Chordata, Mammalia, Carnivora, Felidae. The transcript is spliced from 2 exons. The record is from RefSeq and is a predicted model, not a curated record.